CGCUGGCGGCAUGCUUUACACAUGCAAGUCGGACGGCAGCACAGAGAAGCUUGCUUCUUGGGUGGCGAGUGGCGAACGGGUGAGUAAUAUAUCGGAACGUACCGAGUAAUGGGGGAUAACUAAUCGAAAGAUUAGCUAAUACCGCAUAUUCUCUGAGGAGGAAAGCAGGGGACCUUCGGGCCUUGCGUUAUUCGAGCGGCCGAUAUCUGAUUAGCUAGUUGGUGGGGUAAAGGCCUACCAAGGCGACGAUCAGUAGCGGGUCUGAGAGGAUGAUCCGCCACACUGGGACUGAGACACGGCCGAGACUCCUACGGGAGGCAGCAGUGGGGAAUUUUGGACAAUGGGCGCAAGCCUGAUCCAGCCAUGCCGCGUGUCUGAAGAAGGCCUUCGGGUUGUAAAGGACUUUUGUCAGGGAAGAAAAGGACAGGGUUAAUACCCC
RNAcentral lists this ribosomal RNA (439 nucleotides) under Neisseria flavescens. Its description in RNAcentral is "bacterial SSU rRNA". It matches the Rfam family "Bacterial small subunit ribosomal RNA", at positions 34 to 469 of the family's 1533-position model. Lineage: Bacteria; Pseudomonadati; Pseudomonadota; Betaproteobacteria; Neisseriales; Neisseriaceae. The record is from RNAcentral.